RNAcentral lists this non-coding RNA (27 nucleotides) under Mus musculus (house mouse). The record is from RNAcentral. Lineage: Eukaryota; Metazoa; Chordata; Mammalia; Rodentia; Muridae.
UGAUAGUACAAGUCAGACAGACUCGAG